AAAUAACUAUUAUUGCACCAUACCCAUAUUCAAAACCAGAAAUAAUCCUUAAAAAAAAUUUUGAUUGCUUCAUAAUUUGCAAAAACAAAAAAAUAUUUGUAAAACAAAACAAACCAGAUAAAAUAACCCAACUAACAAUAUGUAUAUAUAGAGAGAGCAACAAAAAAUACCCAGCAGAUUUUAUAUACCCAUAUCAAAAAUUUUAUCAAAAACACAACCCUAGGCAGAUUAGAGAGCUAAAAGCAAGAUCAAAUCAAAAGAAAAUAAAGUAAAAAGCAUAAAAAAAUAGAGAGAGAAAGUUUACAUACCCAAACUUAAAACGCUCCAAAUGGGUUCCUUGAGAAGAAAAGAAAAUGUUUUUGGGCAUUUGAGUGAAGAAAAAGAAGAAAAAUGGAGGUUUUGUGGGGAAAAAUGGCUUAGAUCAGCCGAUUUGUGAAGAGGGAGAUAAAGAGAGCUUCGGAGAGAGAGAGAGCACUUCGGGGAGAGAGAGAGAGACGCGCGAGGAAGAUGAAGAAGACGAUGAGCUGUCGCGGGGGGUUUUUAAAGAACACGCAGUUUCGGCGACCGAACUAAGCUUCAGCAGCCGAAACUGGACAAGUUUAG
This 603-nucleotide long non-coding RNA is filed under the name Manihot esculenta (cassava). RNAcentral's name for it is "long non-coding RNA (MESC_LNC009280)". Lineage: Eukaryota; Viridiplantae; Streptophyta; Magnoliopsida; Malpighiales; Euphorbiaceae. The record is from RNAcentral.